AUACGGAGGAUGCAAGCGUUAUCCGGAUUUAUUGGGUUUAAAGGGUGCGUAGGCUGAGGAGUAAGUCAGGGGUGAAAUGCCGCAGCUCAACUGCGGAACUGCCUUUGAUACUGCUUUUCUGGAGUCCGGAUGCCGUGGGAGGAAUGGGCAGUGUAGCGGUGAAAUGCAUAGAUAUUGCCCAGAACACCGAUUGCGAAGGCAUCUCACGAAUCCGGCACUGACGCUGAGGCACGAAAGCGUGGGGAUCAAACAGGAUUAGAUACCCUGGUAGUCCACGCAGUAAACGAUGAUAACUAACCGUCGGCGAUAGACAGUCGGUGGCCAAGCGAAAGCGAUAAGUUAUCCACCUGGGGAGUACGUUCGCAAGAAUGAAACUCAAAGGAAUUGACGGGG
RNAcentral lists this ribosomal RNA (393 nucleotides) under uncultured bacterium. Its description in RNAcentral is "partial 16S ribosomal RNA". It matches the Rfam family "Bacterial small subunit ribosomal RNA", at positions 523 to 918 of the family's 1533-position model. The record is from RNAcentral.